This 497-nucleotide ribosomal RNA is filed under the name uncultured bacterium. RNAcentral describes it as "partial 16S ribosomal RNA". It matches the Rfam family "Bacterial small subunit ribosomal RNA", at positions 28 to 507 of the family's 1533-position model. The record is from RNAcentral.
GAUGAACGCUGGCGGCGUGCCUAAUACAUGCAAGUCGAGCGAACAGACGAGGAGCUUGCUCCUCUGACGUUAGCGGCGGACGGGUGAGUAACACGUGGAUAACCUACCUAUAAGACUGGGAUAACUUCGGGAAACCGGAGCUAAUACCGGAUAAUAUAUUGAACCGCAUGGUUCAAUAGUGAAAGACGGUUUUGCUGUCACUUAUAGAUGGAUCCGCGCCGCAUUAGCUAGUUGGUAAGGUAACGGCUUACCAAGGCAACGAUGCGUAGCCGACCUGAGAGGGUGACAGCCAACAUGGGAACUGAGACGCGGUCCAGACUCCGAGGGGGGGCAGCAGGAGGGAUUUUUCCGGAAGGGGGGAAGACCGGACGGAGCAGCCCGGCGGGAGUAAUAAGGGUCUUCGAAUCGAAAAACUCUUUUAUUGGAAAAAAAAAAAUGUGUAAGUAACUAUGCACUUCUGGACGGUACCUAAUAAGAAAGCCAGGACAAACUAGGUC